UACGGAGGGUGCGAACGUUGCUCGGAAUUACUGGGCGUAAAGCGCGUGUAGGCGGGACGAUAAGUCGGAAGUGAAAUCCCCGGGCUCAACCCGGGAACUGCUUUCGAAACUGCCGUCCUCGAGUACCGGAGAGAGUGGCGGAAUUCCUGGUGUAGAGGUGAAAUUCGUAGAUAUCAGGAGGAACACCGGUGGCGAAGGCGGCCACCUGGACGGUCACUGACGCUGAGACGCGAAAGCGUGGGGAGCAAACAGG
RNAcentral lists this ribosomal RNA (253 nucleotides) under uncultured bacterium. RNAcentral's name for it is "partial 16S ribosomal RNA". It matches the Rfam family "Bacterial small subunit ribosomal RNA", at positions 524 to 776 of the family's 1533-position model. The record is from RNAcentral.